AACGCAAUUGGGUCCACCGCCCUGGUGACGACGAGAUAGUCACGCAGCGCGAUGCCGUGUCGGUUCUC
Molecule: small RNA, 68 nt
Filed under: Mycobacterium sp. OAS707
Lineage: Bacteria; Bacillati; Actinomycetota; Actinomycetes; Mycobacteriales; Mycobacteriaceae
Description: ASdes TB sRNA
Rfam family: ASdes TB sRNA
Source: RNAcentral